This 445-nucleotide ribosomal RNA is filed under the name uncultured bacterium. RNAcentral's name for it is "SSU rRNA". It matches the Rfam family "Bacterial small subunit ribosomal RNA", at positions 26 to 518 of the family's 1533-position model. The record is from RNAcentral.
AGAAUGAACGCUGGCGGCAUGCCUAACACAUGCAAGUCGAACGAAACCUUCGGGUUUAGUGGCGCACGGGUGCGUAACGCGUGGGAAUCUACCCCUUGGUUCGGAAUAACAGUUGGAAACGACUGCUAAUACCGGAUGACGACGAAAGUCCAAAGAUUUAUCGCCGAGGGAUGAGCCCGCGUAGGAUUAGCUAGUUGGUGUGGUAAAGGCGCACCAAGGCGACGAUCCUUAGCUGGUCUGAGAGGAUGAUCAGCCACACUGGGACUGAGACACGGCCCAGACUCCUACGGGAGGCAGCAGUGGGGAAUAUUGGACAAUGGGCGAAAGCCUGAUCCAGCAAUGCCGCGUGAGUGAUGAAGGCCUUAGGGUUGUAAAGCUCUUUUACCCGGGAUGAUAAUGACAGUACCGGAGAAUAAGCUCCGGCUAACUCCGUGCCAGCAGCCGC